CGCGGCCUAUCAGCUUGUUGGUGGGGUAAUGGCCUACCAAGGCGGCGACGGGUAGCCGGCCUGAGAGGGUGGACGGCCACAUUGGGACUGAGAUACGGCCCAGACUCCUACGGGAGGCAGCAGUGGGGAAUAUUGCACAAUGGGGGCAAGCCUGAUGCAGCGACGCCGCGUGGGGGAUGACGGCCUUCGGGUUGUAAACUCCUUUCGCUAGGGACGAAGCUUUUUGUGACGGUACCUAGAUAAGAAGCACCGGCUAACUACGUGCCAGCAGCCGCGGUAAUACGUAGGGUGCGAGCGUUGUCCGGAAUUACUGGGCGUAAAGGGCUCGUAGGUGGUUUGUCGCGUCGUCUGUGAAAUUCCGGGGCUUAACUCCGGGCGUGCAGGCGAUACGGGCAUAACUUGAGUACUGUAGGGGUAACUGGAAUUCCUGGUGUAGCGGUGAAAUGCGCAGAUAUCAGGAGGAACACCGAUGGCGAAGGCAGGUUACUGGGCAGUUACUGACGCUGAGGAGCGAAAGCAUGGGUAGCGAACAGGAUUAGAUACCCUGGUAGUCCAUGCCGUAAACGGUGGGCGCUAGGUGUGAGGGUCUUUUCACGACUUUCGUGCCGUAGCUAACGCAUUAAGCGCCCCGCCUGGGGAGUACGG
RNAcentral lists this ribosomal RNA (645 nucleotides) under uncultured bacterium. RNAcentral describes it as "bacterial SSU rRNA". It matches the Rfam family "Bacterial small subunit ribosomal RNA", at positions 232 to 885 of the family's 1533-position model. The record is from RNAcentral.